Molecule: ribosomal RNA, 465 nt
Filed under: uncultured bacterium
Lineage: Bacteria
Description: partial 16S ribosomal RNA
Rfam family: Bacterial small subunit ribosomal RNA
Source: RNAcentral
GAUGAACGCUGGCGGCGUGCUUAACACAUGCAAGUCGAACGGAAAGGCCCAAGCUUGCUUGGGUACUCGAGUGGCGAACGGGUGAGUAACACGUGGGUGAUCUGCCCUGCACUUCGGGAUAAGCCUGGGAAACUGGGUCUAAUACCGGAUAGGACCACAUUUUGGAUGGUGUGGUGGAAAGUUUUUCGGUGUGGGUUGAGCUCGCGGCCUAUCAGCUUGUUGGUGGGGUAAUGGCCUACCAAGGCGUCGACGGGUAGCCGGCCUGAGAGGGUGUACGGCCACAUUGGGACUGAGAUACGGCCCAGACUCCUACGGGAGGCAGCAGUGGGGAAUAUUGCACAAUGGGCGCAAGCCUGAUGCAGCGACGCCGCGUGGGGGAUGACGGCCUUCGGGUUGUAAACUCCUUUCGCUAGGGACGAAGCGCAAGUGACGGUACCUGGAGAAGAAGCACCGGCUAACUACGUG